GAGUUUGAUCCUGGCUCAAACGUACGCBGGCGGCACGCUAACACAUGCAAGUCGAACGCAGUAGCAAUACUGAGUGGCAGACGGGUGAGUAUAAUGUGGGAAUCUGCCUUUUGGUUCGGUAUAACACGAGGRAACUUGUGCUAAUACCGGAUAAGCCUUCACAGGGAAAGUUUUAUACGCCAAAAGAUGAGCCCGCACUUGAUUAGCUAGUUGGUGAGGUAAUAGCUCACCAAGGCAACGAUCAAUAGCUGUUCUUAGAGGAAGACCAGCCACAUUGGGACUGAGACACGGCCCAAACUCCUACGGGAGGCAGCAGUGGGGAAUCUUGCACAAUGGGGGAAACCCUGAUGCAGCGAUGCCGCGUGAGUGAAGAAGGCCUUUGGGUUGUAAAACUCUUUCGUCGGGGAAGAAAAUGACUGUACCCGAAUAAGAAGGUCCGGCUAACUUCGUGCCAGCAGCCGCGGUAAUACGAAGGGACCUAGCGUAGUUCGGAAUUACUGGGCUUAAAGAGCUCGUAGGUGGUUAAAAAAGUUGAUGGUGAAAUCCCAAGGCUCAACCUUGGAACUGCCAUCAAAACUUUUUAGCUAGAGUAUGAUAGAGGAAAGUGGAAUUUCUAGUGUAGAGGUGAAAUUCGUAGAUAUUAGAAAGAACACCAAAUGCGAAGGCAACCUUCUGGAUCAUUACUGACACUGAGGAGCGAAACAUGGGUAGCGAAGAGGAUUAGAUACCCUCGUAGUCCAUGCCGUAAACGAUGUGUGCUAGACGUUGGAAACAUAGUUUUCAGUGUCGCAGCGAAASAUUAAGCACACCGCCUGGGGAGUACGACCGCAAGUUAAAACUCAAAUGAAUUGACGGGGACCCGCACAAGCAGUGGAGCAUGUGGUUUAAUUCGAAGAUACGCGCAGAACCUUACCAACACUUGACAUGUUCGUCGCGAGCCUAAGAGAUUAGGCUUUUCAGUUCGGCUGGACGAAACACAGGUGCUGCAUGGCUGUCGUCA
Molecule: ribosomal RNA, 1000 nt
Filed under: uncultured Alphaproteobacteria bacterium
Lineage: Bacteria; Pseudomonadati; Pseudomonadota; Alphaproteobacteria
Description: bacterial SSU rRNA
Rfam family: Bacterial small subunit ribosomal RNA
Source: RNAcentral